GCGGGAGUCGCCCAGCCUGGCCAAAGGCGUAGGGCUUAGGACCCUAUCUCUUAGGAGUUCGUGGGUUCAAAUCCCACCUCCCGCACCA
This 88-nucleotide transfer RNA is filed under the name Nitrosopumilaceae archaeon. Its description in RNAcentral is "tRNA-Leu". It matches the Rfam family "tRNA". From Rfam's summary of the family: Transfer RNA (tRNA) molecules are approximately 80 nucleotides in length. Their secondary structure includes four short double-helical elements and three loops (D, anti-codon, and T loops). Further hydrogen bonds mediate the characteristic L-shaped molecular structure. tRNAs have two regions of fundamental functional importance: the anti-codon, which is responsible for specific mRNA codon recognition, and the 3' end, to which the tRNAs corresponding amino acid is attached (by aminoacyl-tRNA synthetases). tRNAs cope with the degeneracy of the genetic code in two manners: having more than one tRNA (with a specific anti-codon) for a particular amino acid; and 'wobble' base-pairing, i.e. permitting non-standard base-pairing at the 3rd anti-codon position. RNAcentral also lists the same sequence under 1 other name. Lineage: Archaea; Thermoproteati; Nitrososphaerota; Nitrososphaeria; Nitrosopumilales; Nitrosopumilaceae. The record is from RNAcentral.